This 69-nucleotide transfer RNA is filed under the name Phytophthora infestans (potato late blight agent). RNAcentral's name for it is "tRNA-Ser". Lineage: Eukaryota; Oomycota; Peronosporomycetes; Peronosporales; Peronosporaceae. The record is from RNAcentral.
CCCUUUCAGCUCAGUGGUCGAGCGCUGGCUUUGAAAGCCACAGGUCGGUGGUUCUAUCCCCGUGCGGGA